This 664-nucleotide ribosomal RNA is filed under the name Microbacterium gubbeenense. RNAcentral's name for it is "bacterial SSU rRNA". It matches the Rfam family "Bacterial small subunit ribosomal RNA", at positions 55 to 730 of the family's 1533-position model. The record is from RNAcentral. Lineage: Bacteria; Bacillati; Actinomycetota; Actinomycetes; Micrococcales; Microbacteriaceae.
AUGCAGUCGACGAUGAAGCUCCAGCUUGCUGGAGUGGAUUAGUGGCGAACGGGUGAGUAACACGUGAGCAACCUGCCCCGAACUUCGGGAUAACAGUUGGAAACAGCUGCUAAUACCGAAUACGCACCAGAACGGCAUCGUUACUGGUGGGAAAGAUUUAUCGGUUCGGGAGGGGCUCGCGGCCUAUCAGCUUGUUGGUGAGGUAAUGGCUCACCAAGGCGUCGACGGGUAGCCGGCCUGAGAGGGUGACCGGCCACACUGGGACUGAGACACGGCCCAGACUCCUACGGGAGGCAGCAGUGGGGAAUAUUGCACAAUGGGCGCAAGCCUGAUGCAGCAACGCCGCGUGAGGGACGACGGCCUUCGGGUUGUAAACCUCUUUUAGUAGGGAAGAAGCCUUCGGGUGACGGUACCUGCAGAAAAAGCGCCGGCUAACUACGUGCCAGCAGCCGCGGUAAUACGUAGGGCGCAAGCGUUAUCCGGAAUUAUUGGGCGUAAAGAGCUCGUAGGCGGUUUGUCGCGUCUGCUGUGAAAUCUGGAGGCUCAACCUCCAGCCUGCAGUGGGUACGGGCAGACUAGAGUGCGGUAGGGGAGAUUGGAAUUCCUGGUGUAGCGGUGGAAUGCGCAGAUAUCAGGAGGAACACCGAUGGCGAGGCAGAUCUCU